GGGGUCAUAGCUCAGUUGGGAGAGCGUCUGGAUGGCAUUCAGAAGGCCAGGGGUUCGAUUCCCCUUGACUCCACCA
This 76-nucleotide transfer RNA is filed under the name Commensalibacter papalotli (ex Servin-Garciduenas et al. 2014). Its description in RNAcentral is "Commensalibacter sp. MX01 tRNA-Ala". It matches the Rfam family "tRNA". From Rfam's summary of the family: Transfer RNA (tRNA) molecules are approximately 80 nucleotides in length. Their secondary structure includes four short double-helical elements and three loops (D, anti-codon, and T loops). Lineage: Bacteria; Pseudomonadati; Pseudomonadota; Alphaproteobacteria; Acetobacterales; Acetobacteraceae. The record is from RNAcentral. RNAcentral also lists the same sequence under 1 other name.